Molecule: small RNA, 55 nt
Filed under: Caenorhabditis elegans
Lineage: Eukaryota; Metazoa; Nematoda; Chromadorea; Rhabditida; Rhabditidae
Description: Unclassified non-coding RNA R186.14
Source: RNAcentral
AAAUAUCGGAUUUCACCUCUACUGCACACAAGUAAUCAUCAAGUUGAUUGACCCG